AUUGAACGCUGGCGGCAUGCCUUACACAUGCAAGUCGAACGGCAGCACGGGUGCUUGCACCUGGUGGCGAGUGGCGAACGGGUGAGUAAUACAUCGGAACAUGUCCUGUAGUGGGGGAUAGCCCGGCGAAAGCCGGAUUAAUACCGCAUACGAUCUACGGAUGAAAGCGGGGGACCUUCGGGCCUCGCGCUAUAGGGUUGGCCGAUGGCUGAUUAGGUAGUUGGUGGGGUAAAGGCCUACCAAGGCGACGAUCAGUAGCUGGUCUGAGAGGACGACCAGCCACACGGGGACUGAGAAACGGCCCAGACUCCUACGGGAGGCAGCAGUGGGGAAUUUUGGACAAUGGGCGAAAGCCUGAUCCAGCAAUGCCGCGUGUGUGAAGAAGGCCUUCGGGUUGUAAAGCACUUUUGUCCGGAAAGAAAUACUUGGCCCUAAUACGGUCGGGGGAUGACGGUACCGGAAGAAUAAGCACCGGCUAACUACGUG
Molecule: ribosomal RNA, 486 nt
Filed under: uncultured bacterium
Lineage: Bacteria
Description: partial 16S ribosomal RNA
Rfam family: Bacterial small subunit ribosomal RNA
Source: RNAcentral